This 414-nucleotide ribosomal RNA is filed under the name uncultured bacterium. RNAcentral's name for it is "bacterial SSU rRNA". It matches the Rfam family "Bacterial small subunit ribosomal RNA", at positions 505 to 916 of the family's 1533-position model. The record is from RNAcentral.
GUGCCAGCCGCCGCGGUAAUACGUAGGGUGCGAGCGUUGUCCGGAUUUAUUGGGCGUAAAGAGCUUGUAGGCGGUUUGUCGCGUCGGGAGUGAAAACUUGGGGCUUAACCCUGAGCUUGCUUUCGAUACGGGCUGACUUGAGGGAGGUAGGGGAGAAUGGAAUUCCUGGUGGAGCGGUGGAAUGCGCAGAUAUCAGGAGGAACACCGGUGGCGAAGGCGGUUCUCUGGACCUUUCCUGACGCUGAGAAGCGAAAGCGUGGGGAGCGAACAGGCUUAGAUACCCUGGUAGUCCACGCCGUAAACGGUGGGUACUAGGUGUGGGGGACAUUCCACGUUCUCCGUGCCGUAGCUAACGCAUUAAGUACCCCGCCUGGGGAGUACGGCCGCAAGGCUAAAACUCAAAGAAAUUGACGG